Molecule: ribosomal RNA, 465 nt
Filed under: uncultured bacterium
Lineage: Bacteria
Description: partial 16S ribosomal RNA
Rfam family: Bacterial small subunit ribosomal RNA
Source: RNAcentral
GACGAACGCUGGCGGCGUGCUUAACACAUGCAAGUCGAACGGAAAGGCCCCUUUGGGGGUACUCGAGUGGCGAACGGGUGAGUAACACGUGAGUAACCUGCCCUUGACUUCGGGAUAACUUCAGGAAACUGGGGCUAAUACCGGAUAGGAAUCCUUGCUGCAUGGUGGGGGUUGGUAAGCUUCGGCGGUUUUGGAUGGACUCGCGGCUUAUCAGCUUGUUGGUGGGGUAGUGGCUUACCAAGGCUUUGAUGGGUAGCCGGCCUGAGAGGGCGAGCGGCCACAUUGGGACUGAGAGACGGCCCAGGCGCCUACGGGAGGCAGCAGUGGGGAAGAUUGCACAAUGGGCGGAAGCCUGAUGCAGCAACGCCGCGUGCGGGAUGACGGCCUUCGGGUUGUAAACCGCUUUCAGCAGGGGCGAAGCUUGUGGUGACGUUACCUGCAGAAGAAGCACCGGCUAACUACGUG